AUGUCUGCUGCUGCAAGCCCGUGUGCUGCUGUGUGCCGGCCUGUCCCUGCUCUAGCUGUGGGUCCUGCGGGGGCUCCAAGGGCGGCUGUGGGUCCUGUGGGGGCUCCAAGGGAGGCUGUGGAUCUUGUGGGGGCUCUAAGGGAGGCUGUGGGUCCUGCGGGGGCUCCAAGGGGGGCUGUGGGUGCUGCGGGGGCUCCAAGGGGGGCUGUGGCUCCUGUGGGAGCUCCAAGGGGGGCUGUGGCUCCUGCGGGGGCUCCAAGGGGGGCUGUGGGUCCUGUGGGGGCUCCAAGGGGGGCUGUGGGUCAUCCUGCUGCCAGUCCUGCUGCUGCAAACCCUGCUGUUCCCAGUCUUGCUGCUGCAAACCCUGCUGCUGUGAGUCCUGCUGCUGCAAACCCUGCUGUUCCCAGUCCUGCUGCUGCAAACCCUGCUGCUGUGAGUCCUGCUGCUGCAAACCCUGCUGUUCCCAGUCCUGCUGCUGCAAACCCUGCUGCUCCCAGUCCUGCUGCUGCAAACCUUGCUGCUCCCAGUCCUGCUGCUGCAAACCCUGCUGUUCCCAGUCCAGCUGCUGUGUCCCUGUUUGCUGCCAGUGCAAAGUCUGAGAUGGUGACCAGAGGCCUCAAAAAGAGCCUCCUCUUCCUCACUCCAUCCCUCCUGGUCUCCAACACCUACAGCCUGAAAUUUCCUCCACGAACACUCUCCAGGUCCAGCCCAGGAGGUGACCCUCCGUGCCCGCGGGCUCCUACUGACUCUCACUCUUUGCCCUUUCCCUCAUGCUUCUCCCGAGCCAGCUGGGCAGCCAAGAUCAGAAGUAGGGGCACAAACUAUAUCUGAGGUUCUUAAGGUCCAGCUGGGCCUUCAAUCCCUUUAAAUAAAAUGUUCUGCACCCAGAAGCCUUGCUCUCAUUGUGGUUCUCUUCCUCACAUCUUUGUCAUUGUAUUCCACUUGUCCAUUUUCUUCCUUCGUGUUUAUGGAGCACCUGCUAUGUCCCAGGCUCUCCACUCUGCCCUGGAGACCCAGCAGACCCUUGUCCCAGGUUCCUGCUCCGGGAGGGCCUGGCUGACCCAGUUCUCCAAUAAGGUUGGUCCUGCUGUUUCUGCAUAUCCCAGGGGCUGAGGGUGGAGCACCAGACGUGGAGUGGGCACACAUCUGGGCAAGGUCCCAGGGCACAGGUGACAUGGGUGCAAUCCGAACCCCUCCAUCUGACUGCUUGUCCUGCUUGAAGCCAGGAUGGAAGGUUGAGCCAGUGCCAGGGGCUUCAAUUUAUUAAAGAUCGUGGGAGGGCAGAGGCGCCAGGGAGAGGGCACGCCCUCUGUCCUAGGAGGCAACAGAUGCACAUGUACACACACGCUGGGAGUGCACGGCUGGGGAGGUGGCUACAAGGCUGCAUGGGGUGCCUGCCUGGGGCUCGUGUCUGUCCCAGGCCUUUGGGGUGCACAGGUCAGGUUGCUGGUUCAUGCACAGGAGCGGGCACCUGCUCAGCCAGGAGGCAAGAAUUGGGGUGUGUGUCAGCUUCCUUCCUGGGCCCCCAAGCCCUGUUGGGUUUGGGGAAGGUCAGAUUCCUGGCCACUGUUGGAUCUAGGCCUGGACUGGCAGGGCUGGGGCAGCACCUCCCUGAGCCCUGGAGAGGAUCUGGGCUGGCCAGGGGCGACUCCUCCCAGCUGUUCUCCGGCAGGCUCAGCCCUCAGCCCCUGACCCCCAGACUGCCAGUUUCCUCAUGUCUUGGGGACCAGCUUUGGGCAUCAGAAAGGCUGCCUCUUUCUGUCCGGCUGUUCCCGACCAGCGGUGCCCAUUCUACUUGGACCUAACUUAGCAUCUCCCUUCACCUGAGAACUAUGACCAACCGGCCAUAGGGAGAUGUUUACACACUUUGUCCUAAAUGUAUCUUUAAAACCACAGGCAACCUGGUGAUUAGGGAAGUUCCCUUAAGCCACAGAGCCAGUAAGUCGCAGCUGGCAUCUAAAGCAAUGUCACUUUGUCCCCGGUCUGAUGCCGCCCAGCCUUGCUCGGAAGCCAGCUGACACACCCAGAGGGUGUAGAUGAUCUCAGAGCACCAGUUCUGCAAGAAUAUGCCCCCCCCACCCCCAAAGGAAAGAAAGACUGGAGGGCUCCAUGACAUCAUGGCCCCAGGUCCGGGGACAUGACCACCAAAGAGCCCAGUUUUUGCUGUGAGCUCCCUGGCAGCCAGGACUAAAAGGGGGAAGAGAAGCCACAUAGGCCUUAUCCCUUAGGAGAGAGAGCAGAGAGGUUUACAGAGUAUGACCUUCAUGUUGUGCUGGAGUGAAGAUCAUGUGGGGUGAUGGGCCCCAGAAUAGAGGGUGCCCUCCAGGGCAGAGACUGUCCAGGGCCACUUCAGUAAGAUUUAAGGGACCAAUUCACAGGCCUGAUUUGGAAGAGAAGAAUUUUUGCAAGUCUACGGCUUGAUGAACUCACGCAGGGGACAAUGGGUUUGAAGUUCACAUCCAGGGGGAGGAUCACUGGUCUGGCACAGAGCAAAGAUGUGAUGUACCCAUUCCCGAGUGAGAUGCUUAAUUUUAUGUGUCAGCUUGGCUGGGCCGCGGUGCCCAGAUAUUCAGUCAAACGUUAUUCUGGAUGCAUCUAUUUUUUGGAUGAGAUUGAUAUUUAAAUCUGUGGACUUUGAGUAAAAGCAGAUGAAGGUCCACAGUGUGGGUGGGCCUCAUCCAAUCAGUUGAAGGCCUGAGUAGAACAAAAGACUGACUUCCCCAAGCAAGAGGGAAUUUUGCCAGUGGACAGCCUGUGGGCUCCACCAGCGAUAUUGGCUCCUACUGGUUUGCCAGCAGGACGCCUUUGCACUCAACAUGUGACUCUUACCAGAGUCUGUGAGGCUGGUCUCCCGGCUCUGACUUUGGGCUCACAGAGCCUCCACAAUGUCACGAGCCAAUUCCUUAAAAUAAGUGUUUUUCUCUACCCACACAUCCUGUUGAUUCCGUUGCUCUGGAGAACGUGGCCCAACACACGGCCCGCUGGCUGCAGGGACGCUGCCCACAGACCCAUCUGGCUGUCCUGGGCCUCUUCAGUGUCAUCUAGGACAAGAGAGGCCACAGCUCAACUAGCCAGUGCCGGGAAAGAUGCCUGUCCCACGGGAAGACUCCGGCACUUCCCUUUGGCAGGUGCACACAUGUUUUGGGGCCAUGUGGCUUCCUGGGACACCCAGCCGCUGGGCCUGCCCCGGGAAGAUGCCCGGGAACUGCAGAGAGCCUGCGCUAGAGGCAUCAGCCUCAACAUCAAAGCUGCGGCGGG
This 3258-nucleotide long non-coding RNA is filed under the name Canis lupus familiaris (dog). RNAcentral describes it as "lncRNA (ENSCAFG00030019235.1)". The record is from RNAcentral. Lineage: Eukaryota; Metazoa; Chordata; Mammalia; Carnivora; Canidae.